RNAcentral lists this ribosomal RNA (265 nucleotides) under uncultured archaeon. RNAcentral describes it as "partial 16S ribosomal RNA". It matches the Rfam family "Archaeal small subunit ribosomal RNA", at positions 717 to 982 of the family's 1478-position model. The record is from RNAcentral.
ACACGACUACAUUAGAUACCCCUGUAGUCCCAGCUGUAAACUCUGUGCGUUAGGUGUGUCAGUGACCACGUGUCACUGAGGUGCCGAAGGGAAACCGUGAAACGCACCGCCUGGGGAGUACGAUCGCAAGGCUGAAACUUAAAGGAAUUGGCGGGGGAGCACAACAACGGGUGGAGCUUGCGGUUUAAUUGGAUUCAACGCCGGAAAUCUUACCGGGACCGACAGCAACAUGAAGGCCAAGCUGAAGACUUUGCCGGAUUAGCUG